Oncorhynchus tshawytscha (Chinook salmon) is the source of this 1278-nucleotide long non-coding RNA. Lineage: Eukaryota; Metazoa; Chordata; Actinopteri; Salmoniformes; Salmonidae. The record is from Ensembl.
AAACCUUUUAAUGGUCAUGCUUGUCACUUCCCCUGGCAACGCGUCAACAUGGUGCCUUUUCAGCUAACAAAAAGUAGGAUAAUGCAUGAAGAAAUUAUGCCGAAAAAACAUGAGGCCUCCAAACGUAAAAAUAAAGCCCAGAGUGAGACACUGAAGACCAGCACUGAGGCCAUCACAGAUCCAAACACAGACCCCAGUACUGUCUCGUACCCUGGAACACCUAUCAACCAGGACAUAGUGAAGGAGAAGAAAAAGAAGAGGGCUAUUAUACUGACCAAAGAUGAGAAGAACAUGGCCGCCUUAGAGAAAACCUGCCAGGCCUUUAGGUCCGACCAGACGGAGUAUGAGCGGUUUCUGGAUCACAUGACUCUCUGGCUCCAGGAGCACCAGGAACAGGCAGUGGAGCUGUUCAGCCUGUGUGAUACAGACAGCCCUGGUACCAUCCCUUUGAGCUGGGUAAUCCAUCCCUCUUCUGGUCUGUUACACCCUCAUUCCCAGCCAAAUGACCCAAUAUCUGCUGGAAAAUCUAUCAAAGCUUUCAUCUGGGGCUCAUGGCUGCAAUUAAGAUCACUAGAGAGAAGCUACAGCCCAGUCCUAACUGUCAGCUGGGAUUGUGGAGCCCACCACCUCCUGAGACAAACAGGUUCAUUCUUCUGAGUAUCAGACUUAUACCAUUUGUCUACGGAGGAGCCCAUCCAGGGAGCUUUGAGGUGGUUUCUUCCCAGGAGCACCAGGGUGUCCAGCCUGUUCAGGGUGAUCGAGGAGCAGGAUGGGAUCAAGACCACCAGCCUGCAGGUGUUCAGAACCAGAGUUCCCUCCCAGGAGUCCUUCCUACCACCAGACAGCUCUCUGGGGAAGUGUGGCUUCACUGGAGGCCCUGAGGACUCACCCAGACAGGCAACACUGUUCUAUGACUACAGGCUGGAGUUCACUGACUGCCCCAUCCUCAACUGUGACCACUACUUUGGUUCUAAGUGACCUCAGAUUGGGGAGGACUACUUUGGUUCUAAGCAACCUCAGAUUGGGGAGGACUACUUUGCAUCAAGGCUGUCUAGGUGACCUGUAUAACUUAUAGUAUCAGCUGUGUAACUUACUAUAUCAGCACUUUUUUGAUGUACAGAUUUAUCCUUGUGUGACUAGCACUAUGAAGCAAUUACAGCUGAUAAUUGGCUGUGUUUAGCUAAUUAUUAAGUCUGAUAGUUAAAAGUACAUUCAUGUCAGCGUUAUACCAGGGGAGAAAAUGGAUGACUUGGGCAGAACACUCCUCACAAUCAGCAG